This is a long non-coding RNA of Sarcophilus harrisii (Tasmanian devil), 514 nucleotides long. RefSeq lists it as uncharacterized. The transcript is spliced from 3 exons. Lineage: Eukaryota; Metazoa; Chordata; Mammalia; Dasyuromorphia; Dasyuridae. The record is from RefSeq and is a predicted model, not a curated record.
CAAACAAAGAGGAUAUCUUUUUCUUUCAGACCUAUAUUAUGGUUUGAAUGCUUUUAUAAAUGUUGAAAUAAAUGCUAGCAAGUAAUUGGGUUAAUAUUCUCUAGAAUUUGUUUUAAAGGAGUUUCCAUUCCCAGAAUGACAGAUUUAUUGUUUUAGAAUUAGAGAAGAUCAUCUCACAGAUUAUAGAGACAUGGGCGUGGGAUUGUGCCAUUGUAACUGGCUGCCUAUAUUAUUAUUAACCCUUUCCUGGAUCAGAAAAAAGAAAAAAGGUUUGUGAAUUGGGAAACAACCAAAAGCAAAUUCCUGUAAUCAGAGCAGGUGGUUGGUAGAAGAUAUGAAAACAAUGCAACAGCAAUAUCCAAGGAGUCUCUGCAAGCAACUGGGCAGCAGAGAAGCAAAUCUACUAAAAAGGAGACCUAUCCCAGAAUGUCCAAGAAAAGAGGCUUCUAGAGACCAGACAACUACAUGUAACAUCUGAGAUCCAAAAUGAAACAGUGAUUAAAUGGACUUUGGG